RNAcentral lists this ribosomal RNA (490 nucleotides) under uncultured bacterium. RNAcentral describes it as "partial 16S ribosomal RNA". It matches the Rfam family "Bacterial small subunit ribosomal RNA", at positions 29 to 507 of the family's 1533-position model. The record is from RNAcentral.
AGUGAACGCUGGCGGUAGGCCUAACACAUGCAAGUCGAACGGCAGCACAGGAGAGCUUGCUCUCUGGGUGGCGAGUGGCGGACGGGUGAGGAAUACAUCGGAAUCUACCUUUUCGUGGGGGAUAACGUAGGGAAACUUACGCUAAUACCGCAUACGACCUACGGGUGAAAGUGGGGGACCGCAAGGCCUCACGCGAUUAGAUGAGCCGAUGUCCGAUUAGCUAGUUGGCGGGGUAAUGGCCCACCAAGGCGACGAUCGGCAGCUGGUCUGAGAGGAUGAUCAGCCACACUGGAACUGAGACACGGUCCAGACUCCUACGGGAGGCAGCAGUGGGGAAUAUUGGACAAUGGGCGCAAGCCUGAUCCAGCCAUACCGCGUGGGUGAAGAAGGCCUUCGGGUUGUAAAGCCCUUUUGUUGGGAAAGAAAUCCUGUCGAUUAAUACUCGGUGGGGAUGACGGUACCCAAAGAAUAAGCACCGGCUAACUUCGUG